This is an RNA transcript of Hevea brasiliensis (rubber tree), 2908 nucleotides long. It is a transcript of the gene named transcription initiation factor TFIID subunit 15b, with no coding region annotated. The transcript has 7 exons. The record is from RefSeq and is a predicted model, not a curated record. NCBI's taxonomy places the organism in Eukaryota, Viridiplantae, Streptophyta, Magnoliopsida, Malpighiales, Euphorbiaceae.
AGAAAGAGGUCUGGGUUAAAAAAAAAAAAAAAAUUCUAACCCAAAAGUCAAGCCCUAUAUAAACCAGUCAUUCUCUUGUAGCCAAACGGCGCCUUCCCCUAAUCUUUUUAUUGCUUUUGGCUGAGAAGACCGGCAAAAGAUAACCCUAACUACUAGAUAAUGUCUGGGAUGUACGGUGAAGACGGCGAAUCUGCUCCUCCAUCUUACGGUGGAUAUGGCGGCGGUGGUGAUGGCGGCGGAGGUGGAGGAGGAUAUGGAGGAGGGGCUAGUGGUGGCGGCUAUGGGGGUGAUGGUGGUUAUGGCGGUCGUGGCGGCAGAGGUGGUGGUGGCGGCGGCGGCAGAGGAUAUGGUGGUGGCGGCAGAGGAUAUGGUGGUAAUUCACAAAAUCGUGGUGGUGGUGGAGGAGAUCGUGGAGGAAGAGGAGGUGGAGGUGGAGGUGGAGGUGGUGGCAGAGGAGGUGGCCGAGGUGGAGGCGGAAGGGACGGUGAUUGGCUGUGCCCUAAUCCAAGCUGUGGCAAUUUGAACUUUGCAAGGAGAGUUGAGUGUAACAAAUGCGGCACUCCCUCCCCUGCUGGUGCCAACAAUGAUCGUGGAAGUGGUGCUGGAGGAGGUUAUAACAAAGGAGGAAGUGGUGGAGGAUAUGGUGGUAACCGAGGGGGUAGAGGUGUUAACUAUGAUGGUAAUAGAAGCAGCAAUUACAAUGAUGGAGGCAGAGGUGGUAAUUAUGAUAAUAGGAGUGGAGGUGGCAGUAGGGGGGGCAGUUAUGGUGGUAAUCAUGGAAGAGACACUGGUGCUUGUAAUCAGAUGCCUCCUCCUGCACUCCCAUCUUAUGGUAGUGCUAGUGGUAAUUAUCCUCCACCUCCUAACUCAUAUGGUGGCAAUGCAAAUUAUGGAAUGGAAGCAGUUCCUCCUCCUACAAGCUACACUGGUGGACCGACAUCUUACCCACCGUCUUAUGGUGGUCCUGUGAGUGGUUAUGGUGGUGAUGCUCCAGCUGAUGUGAGGACUGGUGGGCGAGGUGGUCAACCUGGUGGGUACGGUACUGGUGGUCCUCGGUAUGAAGGAGGAGGUGGGUACAGCGGUGCUGUCACUGAUGCCCCAGCUAAAAUUAAGCAGUGUGAUGGAAAUUGUGAUGAUACUUGUGACAACUCUAGAAUAUACAUAUCAAAUUUGCCCCCUGAUGUGACUAUUGAUGAAUUGAGAGAACUCUUUGGCGGCAUUGGACAAGUUGGAAGGAUUAAGCAGAAGCGGGGCUAUAAAGAUCAGUGGCCCUGGAAUAUAAAAUUAUACACAGAUGAGAAGGGAAACAACAAAGGCGAUGCAGUUUUGUCUUAUGAAGAUCCAUCUGCUGCACAUUCUGCUGGCGGUUUUUAUAACAAUUAUGAUAUGAGGGGUUAUAAAAUCAGUGUUGCAAUGGCGGAAAAGACAGCACUAAGGCAACCUUCAUAUGACCAUGGAGGUGGUGGUAGAGGUGGCUAUGGUGGAGGUGAUCGGCGCCGGGAUAGUUAUAGAGAUGGGGGCUCUGGCCCAGAUAGGCACUACCAUGGUGGAAACCGUUCACGUCCAUACUGAGAAUUUCAGCAUUGAGCUUUUUAUGUACUAAGAAUUGUGAUCUGAGGGAUUUAUUAUAUUCCAUUUCCUUUGGGGGGUUAAACUGGAGACUAAGAGAGACAAGUGGAUUAACUCCAAAUUUCUCGCUGCUAUAAGGUAGGUUGAUAUUUUCAGGUGAGUGCAGCUCUUUUAAACUCUCACUUUAUCCUUGUUUGGAAUGCAGAGUGGUGAAUUAUGUCAAUUUUCUUUGCAUGCCUCCACUAAACAUAGCAUUGGAACUUUGUUGGUUUUCUACCAACGAAAAUUUCAGCUUGGGCUAGUUUUAGCUUAAUUCGUUUAUUGGUUGGAACAUAUCAAUGCAAAGCAUUUUUGUGUGUUAGAGAUAUCGUCCUAGUUCAAGUUGUUUGUUGAAAAUUCUCACCAUGUUACAUAUGGUAGAAUAUAAAAAAUUAUUUGGAUAUGGGCGAGAGUUAACAUUAUAAAUCUCCCUGAAGUCCUAGGAAAUAUGUUAUUUUCCCCCUUUUUUUUUGUGUGUGUUCUAGACAUACAAUAUUUUGCCAUGUUCAAUUGUUUGGUUAAAAUGCUAAUAUAUCACCUUGAGAACUUCAGUGCAUUGAAAGUGUUGAUAAAAUGCUAAUUUUAUAGCAUCUCAAUGAAUUAUACAUUAUGAUUUUCUUUAAUAUAAUCAUACUUUGUGGUUGUAUUUCUUAAUUGCCAUCUAAUGCAUAUAGCAUAAAAGGAUAUAUAUUUUGCUAUUGUGUUAGUCUGGUUGGGUGCUUCUCUGAAUCCUGGCUAGAGUUUUGCUUUUGCUUGGCGUGUUGGAAGUAAGGGUACUCUCAUGCAGAAUCACAGAUGGCCAGAUGCGUCAUCUAAUCUUGAAAUUGGUUGUAGUUUCUGUAAGAUACAUUAGGAAUGCUGGGUAAGAUUAUUGUAAUUUUUACUAUUCUAGUGUACAAGGAUGUGUAUGUUGGAGCCCACAAUUGUUAUUGAGGUUGGGAGGUGAAAAAAUUGCUUUUUUAGGCAUUCCAUUGAAGGGAGGUUUGUGCCGAUCCUAUUGCUGAAGGGAGGUUUUCGUCAUCUGGAGCUUCUACUUUUCUAACCUGCACAGGGCAAUCGACUUUAGCAUGUGUGUGGAUUCAUGGGGUUGCUGCUUGCUGUUAUUAUGUCACUGUUAGAAUCCUUCAUUGUUCCACCGAGAUUAGAAUACACAUGAUUCUAAAACUUGGUACUUGAUUCUAAAACUUAGUACUUUUUCAGGGUUUGAGGAGUUUGCGUUAUAUUUGACUGAUUUCAUGGAGAUCGGAAAUGAAGUGUAAUUUGUGUUACUCUAGUCUAGUGAGCUAAUGGUAUUUUUCUU